GUUGAUGGCCAUACCACCCUGAAUGAACCCAAUCACAUCUAAUUUUGGAAGCCAGGCAGGGUUAGCACUGGUUAGUACUUGGAUGGGAGAAAAAAUGUAUACUCAAUA
RNAcentral lists this ribosomal RNA (108 nucleotides) under Otolemur garnettii (small-eared galago). Lineage: Eukaryota; Metazoa; Chordata; Mammalia; Primates; Galagidae. The record is from RNAcentral.